CUUGCUGGUCUGAUCAGUGGCGAACGGGUGAGUAACACGUGAGCAACCUACCCUUCACUCUGGGAUAAGCCUUGGAAACGAGGUCUAAUACCGGAUACGAGACGCACGGGCAUCUGUAGCGUCUGGAAAGAUUUAUCGGUGGGGGAUGGGCUCGCGGCCUAUCAGCUUGUUGGUGGGGUAAUGGCCUACCAAGGCGACGACGGGUAGCCGGCCUGAGAGGGCGACCGGCCACACUGGGACUGAGACACGGCCCAGACUCCUACGGGAGGCAGCAGUGGGGAAUAUUGCACAAUGGGCGAAAGCCUGAUGCAGCGACGCCGCGUGCGGGAUGACGGCCUUCGGGUUGUAAACCGCUUUCAGCAGGGAAGAAGCGCAAGUGACGGUACCUGCAGAAGAAGCGCCGGCUAACUACGUGCCAGCAGCCGCGGUAAUACGUAGGGCGCAAGCGUUGUCCGGAAUUAUUGGGCGUAAAGAGCUCGUAGGCGGUUUGUCGCGUCUGCUGUGAAAACCUCAGGCUCAACCUGGGGCUUGCAGUGGGUACGGGCAGACUAGAGUGCGGUAGGGGUGACUGGAAUUCCUGGUGUAGCGGUGGAAUGCGCAGAUAUCAGGAGGAACACCGAUGGCGAAGGCAGGUCACUGGGCCGCAACUGACGCUGAGGAGCGAAAGCAUGGGGAGCGAACAGGAUUAGAUACCCUGGUAGUCCAUGCCGUAAACGUUGGGCACUAGGUGUGGGGUCCAUUCCACGGAUUCCGUGCCGCAGCAAACGCAUUAAGUGCCCCGCCUGGGGAGUACGGCCGCAAGGCUAAAACUCAAAGAAAUUGACGGGGGCCCGCACAAGCGGCGGAGCAUGCGGAUUAAUUCGAUGCAACGCGAAGAACCUUACCAAGGCUUGACAUACACCGGAAAAGNGCAGAGAUGUGCUCCCCGCAAGGUCGGUGUACAGGUGGUGCAUGGUUGUCGUCAGCUCGUGUCGUGAGAUGUUGGGUUAAGUCCCGCAACGAGCGCAACCCUCGUCCCAUGUUGCCAGCGGGUUAUGCCGGGGACUCAUGGGAGACUGCCGGGGUCAACUCGGAGGAAGGUGGGGAUGACGUCAAAUCAUCAUGCCCCUUAUGUCUUGGGCUUCACGCAUGCUACAAUGGCCGGUACAAAGGGCUGCGAUACCGCGAGGUGGAGCGAAUCCCAAAAAGCCGGUCUCAGUUCGGAUUGGGGUCUGCAACUCGACCCCAUGAAGUCGGAGUCGCUAGUAAUCGCAGAUCAGCAACGCUGCGGUGAAUACGUUCCCGGGCCUUGUACACACCGCCCGUCAAGUCAUGAAAGUCGGUAACACCCG
Molecule: ribosomal RNA, 1331 nt
Filed under: Cellulomonas phragmiteti
Lineage: Bacteria; Bacillati; Actinomycetota; Actinomycetes; Micrococcales; Cellulomonadaceae
Description: bacterial SSU rRNA
Rfam family: Bacterial small subunit ribosomal RNA
Source: RNAcentral